RNAcentral lists this transfer RNA (80 nucleotides) under Roseibium album. Its description in RNAcentral is "Labrenzia alba tRNA". It matches the Rfam family "tRNA". Rfam says of the family: Transfer RNA (tRNA) molecules are approximately 80 nucleotides in length. Their secondary structure includes four short double-helical elements and three loops (D, anti-codon, and T loops). Further hydrogen bonds mediate the characteristic L-shaped molecular structure. tRNAs have two regions of fundamental functional importance: the anti-codon, which is responsible for specific mRNA codon recognition, and the 3' end, to which the tRNAs corresponding amino acid is attached (by aminoacyl-tRNA synthetases). tRNAs cope with the degeneracy of the genetic code in two manners: having more than one tRNA (with a specific anti-codon) for a particular amino acid; and 'wobble' base-pairing, i.e. permitting non-standard base-pairing at the 3rd anti-codon position. Lineage: Bacteria; Pseudomonadati; Pseudomonadota; Alphaproteobacteria; Hyphomicrobiales; Stappiaceae. The record is from Rfam by way of RNAcentral.
GGAGCAGCUGGGCAUUGGAGAGCCCACCGGACUGUAAAUUCGACGCUUGCGCUGUGCUGGUUCGACUCCAGCCUGCUCCA